UAUAGGCAAAAUGGUGCCGUAACUUCGGGAGAAGGCACGCUGAUAUGUAGGUGAAGCGACUUGCCCGUGGAGCUGAAAUCAGUCGAAGAUACCAGCUGGCUGCAACUGUUUAUUAAAAACACAGCACUGAGCAAACACGAAAGUGGACGUAUACGGUGUGACGCCUGCCCGGUGCCGGAAGGUUAAUUGAUGGGGUCAGCGCAAGCGAAGCUCUUGAUCGAAGCCCCGGUAAACGGCGGCCGUAACUAUAACGGUCCUAAGGUAGCGAAAUUCCUUGUCGGGUAAGUUCCGACCUGCACGAAUGGCGUAAUGAUGGCCAGGCUGUCUCCACCCGAGACUCAGUGAAAUUGAACUCGCUGUGAAGAUGCAGUGUACCCGCGGCAAGACGGAAAGACCCCGUGAACCUUUACUAUAGCUUGACACUGAACAUUGAGCCUUGAUGUGUAGGAUAGGUGGGAGGCUUUGAAGUGUGGACGCCAGUCUGCAUGGAGCCGACCUUGAAAUACCACCCUUUAAUGUUUGAUGUUCUAACGUGGACCCGUGAUCCGGGUUGCGGACAGUGUCUGGUGGGUAGUUUGACUGGGGCGGUCUCCUCCUAAAGAGUAACGGAGGAGCACGAAGGUUGGCUAAUCCUGGUCGGACAUCAGGAGGUUAGUGCAAUGGCAUAAGCCAGCUUGACUGCGAGCGUGACGGCGCGAGCAGGUGCGAAAGCAGGUCAUAGUGAUCCGGUGGUUCUGAAUGGAAGGGCCAUCGCUCAACGGAUAAAAGGUACUCCGGGGAUAACAGGCUGAUACCGCCCAAGAGUUCAUAUCGACGGCGGUGUUUGGCACCUCGAUGUCGGCUCAUCACAUCCUGGAGCUGAAGUAGGUCCCAAGGGUAUGGCUGUUUGCCAUUUAAAGUGGUACGCGAGCUGGGUUUAGAACGUCGUGAGACAGUUCGGUCCCUAUCUGCCGUGGGCGCUGGAGAACUGAGGGGGGCUGCUCCUAGUACGAGAGGACCGGAGUGGACGCAUCACUGGUGUUCGGGUUGUCAUGCCAAUGGCACUGCCCGGUAGCUAAAUGCGGAAGAGAUAAGUGCUGAAAGCAUCUAAGCACGAAACUUGCCCCGAGAUGAGUUCUCCCUGACUCCUUGAGAGUCCUGAAGGAACGUUGAAGACGACGACGUUGAUAGGCCGGGUGUGUAAGCGCAGCGAUGCGUUGAGCUAACCGGUACUAAUGAACCGUGAGGCUUAACCUU
This 1236-nucleotide ribosomal RNA is filed under the name metagenome. RNAcentral describes it as "bacterial LSU rRNA". It matches the Rfam family "Bacterial large subunit ribosomal RNA", at positions 1712 to 2925 of the family's 2925-position model. The record is from RNAcentral.